GUGAAUCAUCGAAUCUUUGAACGCAUAUUGCGCCCCUUGGUAUUCCGGGGGGCACACCUGUUCGAGCGCCAUUUCGACCCUCAAGCAUAGCUUGGUGUUGGGCACGGUCCUAGGGGGACCUGCCUGUAACUCGUAGGCGGCCACCGCCCGCGCCCCCAGCGUAGCAAGCUCACGCGUUCGCUCGGGGACGGUACGCGCCUGGCAGCCCAAAACAAUUUUCAAGGUUUGGCCUCGGAUCAGGUGGGGAUACCCGCUGAACUUAAGCAUAUCAAUAAGCGGAGGA
This 283-nucleotide unclassified non-coding RNA is filed under the name fungal sp. Its description in RNAcentral is "partial contains 5.8S ribosomal RNA, internal transcribed spacer 2, and large subunit ribosomal RNA". The stretch from base 1 to 71 matches the Rfam family "5.8S ribosomal RNA", at positions 84 to 154 of the family's 154-position model. Lineage: Eukaryota; Fungi. The record is from RNAcentral.